RNAcentral lists this ribosomal RNA (1083 nucleotides) under Triticum aestivum (bread wheat). Its description in RNAcentral is "partial small subunit ribosomal RNA". Lineage: Eukaryota; Viridiplantae; Streptophyta; Magnoliopsida; Poales; Poaceae. The record is from RNAcentral.
AUGGCGAAGCCGACCUCGACGGAGGAUCUGAGGGGAACGAAGGAAGGGCGGGUAGGGUUAGGGUUUGCAGAUGGGAAGGGAGAGGUAGAAGGGAUCAGCGGUGAUGUACCGGCGUCAAGUAACACUACCACGGGUAAAGGCGAUGAUGUGAGGAGAGAAGAGGAGGAGGUGGAUCCAGGCCGUGAGAUCGAAGAGGAUUGGGACAAUAUUGGCCAUGACCCAGAGCUGGAGGAUGCGUUCGAAGGGCUGAAGCUGUAUGGAGAAGAGGAGGAAGAUUUAGACCUCUCGGGUGAAGUAGAUGAUCUAAUCAAGGAGGUGAGAUGGUUAUGUCUGUUUAGGGUUCAUACUAUGCGGCCGUUUAGCCAUGCGGCGCUGCUAAACUCUUUGAGGAACGCAUGGUCGUGUGCACAAGGAGUCACCUUCAAUAUCAAAGGGCCUAAUUUGUUCCUAGCACAGUGCCAUUGCUUGGGGGAUUGGAAGAGGGUGAUGGAAGGAGGGCCAUGGCAAUUCAGGAGAGAUCCGGUUGUCAUCGUUGAGUAUGAUGGAUUCACAAACGUUGCUGAAUACGCCCUAGACAUGUAUCCAUUAUGGGCUAGAAUAAAAGGAUUGCCGGAUGGGUUAACGAGGAAGAAGGAAUUGGCGGAGAAGGUUGCGAAGAAGGUGGGCUUGCCACCCUUUACGGUGGCUGUCAACGAAGGAAGGAUCAACCCUUCGAGCUUUUUAAGAGUUAGGGUGUUUGUGGACGUUCAUAAACCCUUGGUGAGAUUUGUCCCGAUUACAUUGAAGGAGUACAAACGAUACCCGGUGAGUUAUGAGAAGCUACCGGAUUUUUGCUUCUUCUGUGGGCGCAUGGGGCAUGUGGUGGAAGAAUGUGGAGAUGGAGUGCAUGAUCCAACAGAGUGUGAGUGGGGAGACUGGCUACAUUGGAGUAAUGAACAACCUAUGGGGACUGCAGGGAAGGGACACAGGGGAGGUGGUGAAGCGGGGGUGCGGGGGGUAGAGGAAGAGGGGGAGCUGCAAGAGGGUUUGGAGGAGGAUCUGGAAGUAGGGGAGGCAUGGGUAACAGAGGGAGAGCCGCAAUGA